UAUGGAUGUGGCUCAAUGGUAGAGUAUUUGCCUAGCAUGCAUGGAGCCCUGGGUUCAAUCCCCAGUACCACAA
RNAcentral lists this transfer RNA (73 nucleotides) under Marmota monax (woodchuck). RNAcentral describes it as "tRNA.Ala". It matches the Rfam family "tRNA". From Rfam's summary of the family: Transfer RNA (tRNA) molecules are approximately 80 nucleotides in length. Lineage: Eukaryota; Metazoa; Chordata; Mammalia; Rodentia; Sciuridae. The record is from RNAcentral.